Callithrix jacchus (white-tufted-ear marmoset) is the source of this 5748-nucleotide RNA transcript. It is a transcript of the gene named keratin, type I cytoskeletal 18 pseudogene, with no coding region annotated. NCBI's taxonomy places the organism in Eukaryota, Metazoa, Chordata, Mammalia, Primates, Cebidae. The record is from RefSeq and is a predicted model, not a curated record.
UAAAAAAUUAAAAAAAAAAAAAGAAAAUCUACUACCUCCAGUGGGAGUGUGUGGCAUCUGAGAGCCUGAGCUUUGGAACCAAACUGAACUGAGUUGGACUCAUGGCUCCACCGGUAAACAGUUUUGUCACCUUCUAAAUUAAUCUUCUAGAUUGAGCAACUAAAUUUAUCUUCCAGAGUAGAGGUCAGUAAACUUUUUCUGUAAAGGAUUAGACAGUGAAUAUUUUAGGUUGUGCAGGCCAUGUAUGGUCUUUGCUGCCAGCAACUACUCAAUGUAAAUAAGCAGCCAUACACAUAGACAACGGCCAUAGACAACAGCCAUAAAAGCAGCCAUAGACGACACAUGAAUAAAUGAAUGAGGCUGUGCUCCAAUAACAACAGGCAGUGGCCGGAUUUGGCCCCCAGGCUGCAGUUUGCCCACCUCUGCUCUAUGGUUCUCAGUUCCUGCAUUUGUAAGAUAGACAAUACUUAUAACUACCUCAUAGGGUUGUUGUGGGAAUAAAUGGGGCAAUGUGUCGAAUUCUUUGCUCACUGCCUAUGUAUAAUAAGUAGCCAGUAAAUGUUUUUUAUUGAUGUGGCUGUUGAGAUACGUGCUGAGAAUGCAGAAUAAGGAAGUCACAUUUAUUGAGCACCUGCUAUACACACAGUAGGGCCAACUCUUAAUGGGACAGGACUUCAUUUGUUAUUAGUUACUUAAGCAAAACAUCUCAUGUUGGCACAGAGCUUCAUGCUUUGAGUCCAUUAGCUCGUUUCAUCUUCCCGGUGACUCUCUGGGGUAAAUUUCUGAAUCAGGAAUCCAGGCCUCCAAGUUCCUUCUGCGAGGGAGAGCAGAGGCAAUUUUUGAAACCUCAACCGUCUUAUUCCAAAGUCUGGGUUCUCAACCGGGGGUGGUACUGCCUGCCUUCUCCAACCCGUUCCCUCCAUCCUGGGAGAUGUGGAAAGUCAGGGGCUGUUUUGUGCGUUGGGGGAGUUAAAAGAAUGAGGAAGCACUGCUGGAUUUUAAUGACCAGGGUCCAGUAAUGCUAAAUGCCUGGCAGACUUGUUUAAAUGUCUGUAAAACAAAAACUAUCCAGUCCCAAAUGGACUCCCAAAUGUCAGCAGCGCUCCACAUCUUGCUGCCCAGAUGCAACUCCAUUGUCACCUUCCCUUGAGCAGCUCACAGUCCUACAGAAGAGGGCAAAUGGAGCAGAGUGGUCAGAGCGAGGAUAGAUGGAGGUAUCCCUCGAGGGCAACGUGGUAUGGGGAGGAUGCCCUCAUUUCUUCUGAGAGUGGUAGAGACAGGGGGUGCAUGUUGUUAAAUUUUAAGUUUAGAAGAUUCUUUCUGUUUCCCUCUAAAUCUGCAUGAAAGGUGUGGAGUAGAAAGGGCACUGGACUGUCAGAGGCUAAAACCACCAACUUGACCACUGUGCAAGUAAGGCAACUGGCUUGACCUCUCUGGGCUUCAACAUUCUUGGAGUGAACUGGCUUGACCUCUCUGGGCUUCAACAUUCUUGGAGUGAAAAGACAAUCAUAACACACGCCUGUCCCCUUGCAGGGCUGUAGCUACGGUCAGAUGGAGCAACAGAGCGAAAGUACAUACCUCUGUAUGAAGGGCAGGUGUGUUACUUAGUGAAUUGUAAAGCAAUUGUCAACGCAAUAAAACUCUUCCUUUUUAAAUCUUAAGUUUGGUUUCUAAAGGCUGCGUGGAGCUUUUCUCUAACAGCCCAGGUGCAGAUGGCUGCCACGGGCUGUUCCUCCUGCCCCAGAAAUUGAGAUUUUGCUUUGAUUGCAUCUCCAGCAAAACCAGCCAGGGUGAAAAAUUAGCCCAGGAGAGAGUAGCUUUGCUUCCUGUUGGCCAUACCUCCUCAGAGUCAUAGAGAAGGCAUCCAUUCCCAGCCAGAGACUGAGCCAGAAAAGGGGCUGGAACAGCUUGAGGGGGGUUACCUGUAGGUCAGGCUCCACAAGCUGGUUUCCCCCCAGGAACUGAGGGGAGGGGUUAAUAGUUCCUUUGGCCAAAACGUCAAGCUGGAAUCAAUCUAUAUAAAUGUCAAGCUUGCUCUGUAUGCAAAAAUGAGGAGGUCAUCAUAGCAGAAAUGUACUGACGUUUUCUCUACAGGACUCAGAUUUCUCUUUUUCUACUCAGAGCCCAGAUGGCAGUGGGGUUCCUUGGCUCUGGAGAUCUAGUUAAUUGUGGUCCUGCCUCUGCAAUUCCACACCUUCUGAAGCUUUCCCCAAACUCUCUGCAGGGGUCUGGGGACGCUGCCUCAAGCAUCACAUGGCCUGUCCCCCUGCAUGCUCUUGUCAACCCAGCCAUGAAACUUGAUCCAUUCUCUAGUUCCAAAAACAAAAACAGAAAAAAACAAUUCCAGAAGGAUCCCAAAGAGAGAGAAGAAUUUGAUGACAUUUCCCCAUGCCAAUACAAUACACAACUUUUUUUUGCAGCAAACAGGUGUUGGAGUCCAACUUCUAGAACCCAACUCCCUUACUUAUAUAAUGGGGUGACCUCAGGAAGUCCCUUAGCCACUGGAUUCAGUAUUUUCAUCUGUCAAUGAGGCUAUCAAUCUAAUUAAAAAGCUGUUGUGAGGACUCAAUUAAAUUUGUCACAUAAAUGGCAAAAACAUAAUACAUGCCCACUUCAGCUAGAGCUCUUAGCUACAGAGUGAUUUGUUUAAAUCACCUUAUUUAAAAGGAUGUGGAGGCUGGCUUAAGUGCGAAGUCCAGCAACCUGUCAUGUGUAGGCAGAAUUGGUUCAGAGCUCUGGCUCUGCUUCUUUUCAUUCCCAGGACUCUUCUCUCGUCUAUAUAAUUGUUUUCUUUUCUGUCCUCCACCCUUCCUCAUAGUCAUAAAAUGACUGCAGCUGUGCCAGGUAUCACAUCUACCUUCUGCAGCAUCCAUGGCUUUUGUUCCAUGGUUUUCUUUGCCAUGGAACAAAAGUCCUGGGUUUUGCUCUGAUUAUAACACUUAAGGUCAAGUUUCCAUUUCAGAAGUCAUCAUUGAGGCUGGAGGUAUCCAUUCCAUGAGUGGUUAGGCAUAGGUGACAGAGGGGUGGGAUUAUGCUAUGUACCCUUUGAGGCACUCCAAAGUUCAGGUUCCUCCAUGUACAAUCCUGUCUUCACAUCUGUGUCCCCAAGCUUAGCACAAUGUUUGACACACAAGGAGACACUCAGUAAGAGCUUCUUAUUGAAUGAAUGAUGCUCAUUGAAUGCAGAUUAUAAAAUCUAAGGAGAGAAUAAGUGUGUGUGUGGGGUUAGAACAUCUAAUCAUUCUCUGAAUCAGUUGCUCAGUUAGUGGUAAUUUCCCAGAUAUUCUUUUCAACGUUUAAAAAUGGGUACUUAUUUCUCUCCUCUACUUUUUCGUACUUUUUUUUUUUGAGACAGUGUCUCACUCUGUUGCCCAGGCAGGAGUGCAGUGGCAUUAUCUUGGUUCACUGCAACCUCUGCCUACCAGGCUUAAGUGAUCCUCCCACCUCAGCCUCCUGAGUAGCUGGGACUACAGGCAUGCACCACCAGGCCCAGCUAAUUUUUGUCUAUUUGUUUGUUUAUUUUGGUAGAGAUGGGGUUUAACUAUGUUGCCCAGGCAGAUCUUGAAUUCCUGGGCUGAAAUAAUCCACCUGCCUCAGCCUCCCAAAGUGCUGGGACUGCAGGGAUGUGCCACCACGCCUGGCCUAUUUCUUUGCUUGGUCAUGUCUCCCCAUCUCACACCCUCACCACCCAUAGAAAUAAAGGAGGAUAAGGGUUUUGUUUUGUUCACUGCUGUAUCCUUAGGACUUAGAAUAGUGACUGGGACAUAGUAGGUGUUCAGUUAAUGUCUGUGAACAAAGUAAAAAAUAUGCUUACUCUUUACUCUCAUGAAGCUUCUUUCCUGCCGGGCUGUGUGCAGUGGCUGGCUGUGUACCACAUCAGCCCAGAGCAGUAGUUACAAUAGAGGUUCCCAAGUCAUCUCCUUCAGAUGCAUGAAUUUGAAUUUCUGGGGGAGGGUCCUGGGAAUUUUUAUUUGGGGGCCACUGCUUUAGAUGACCAAGUAUUGUUCAGGUUAGGGACUGGCAGAAAGGCUUUUUUUCGCUACUUCAAAAUCUUGUGGCUGAUCAUCUGUGCUUUCAAGGGGACAUUAAUAGCUUCAUCCUUGCAGGCAGGAAGCUCUUAAAAACUAUUAGUUGAAAGGAAGAUUAAAUGAAACCUGUACUUAAUUAUCACAACUUUCUUUUUUUUCUUUCAAGACACCCGGAAGGUAAUUAUAACUUUCUUGAUGCAGUAGAGGAAUCACUGGUCUGAGACAAAUAGAACUGGGUUUGCACUCCAGUUGUUGCUACUUCCGAGGGAGGGCAGUCUUUGAGCCCCAGAUUCCUUAUCUAUAAAAAGGGACUACUAGGUCGUACACAAAGCCUGAGCCCUGUCCUCUCCUCUCCUCCCCGGGCAGCAUGAGCUUCACCACUCGCUCCUCCUUUUCCACCAACUACCGGUCUGUGGGCUCCGUCCGGGUGCCCAGCUAUGGCGCCCGCCCGGUCAGCAGCGCGGCCAGCGUCUAUGCAGACGCCGGGGGCUCGGGUUCCCGCGUCUCUGUAACGCUCUCCGCCAGCUUCCGGAGCGGCGUGGGGGUCGGGGGCCUGGCGGCGGGGAUGGCCAGGGGUCUGGCAGGAAUGGGAGGCAUCCAGAACGAGAAGGAGACCAUGCAAAUCCUGAACGACCGCCUGGCCUCCUACCUGGACAGAGUCAGGAGCCUGGAGACCGAGAACCGGAAGCUGGAGAGCCAAAUCCGGGAGCACCUGGAGAAGAAGGAACCCCAGGUCAGAGACUGGGGCCAUUACUUCAAGACCAUCGAGGACCUGAGGGCUCAGAUCUUCUCAAAUACUGUGGACAAUGCCCGCAUCGUUCUGCAGAUUGACAAUGCUCGUCUUGCUGCUGAUGACUUUAGAGUCAAGUAUGAGACAGAGCUGGCCAUGCGCCAGUCUGUGGAGAGCGACAUCCAUGGUCUCCUCAAGGUCAUCGAUGACACCAAUGUCACUUGGCUGCAGCUGGAGACAGAGAUCGAGGCUCUCAAGGAGGAGCUGCUCUUCAUGAAGAAGAACCAAAUGGCCUACAAGCCCAGAUUGCCAGCUCUGGGUUGACCACGGAGGUAGAUGCCCCCAAAUCUCAGGAUCUCGCUAAGAUCAUGGCAGAAAUCUGGGCUCAAUAUGACGAGCUGGCUCAGAAGAACCGAGAGGAGCUGGGCAAGUACUGGACUCAGCUGAUUGAGGAGAGUAACACAAUAGUCACCACACAGUCCACUGAGGUUGAAGCUGCUGAGAUGACGCUCACAGAGCUGAGACAUACAGUCCAGUCCUUGGAGAUCGACCUGGACUCCAUGAAAAAUACGAAGAUCAGCUUGGAGAACAGCCUGAGGGAGGUGGAGGCCCGCUACGCCCUGCAGAUGGAGCAGCUCAACAGGAUCCUGCUGCACCUGGAGUCAGAGCUGGCACAGACCCGGGCAGAGGGACAGCGCCAGGCCCAGGAGUACUAGGCUCUGUUGAACAUCAAGGUCAAGCUGGAGGCUGAGAUCGCCACCUACCGCCGCCUGCUGGAAGAUGGGGAGGACUUCAGUCUCAGUGAUGCCUUGAACAGCAGUAACUCCAUGCAAACCAUCCAAAAGACGACCACCCGCGGGAUAGUGGAUGGCAAAGUGGUGUCUGAGACCAACGACACCAAAGUUCUGAGACAUUAGGCCAGCAGAAGCAGGGGACCCUUGAGGGAGCAGGAGGCCAAUAAAAAGUUCAGAGGUCAAAAAAAAAAAAAAA